AACGAACGCUGGCGGCAGGCCUAACACAUGCAAGUCGAGCGAGGACUUCGGUUCUAGCGGCGGACGGGUGAGUAACGCGUGGGAAUGUGCCCUUCUCUACGGAAUAGCCCUGGGAAACUGGGAGUAAUACCGUAUACGCCCUAUUGGGGAAAGAUUUAUCGGAGAAGGAUCAGCCCGCGUUGGAUUAGGUAGUUGGUGGGGUAAUGGCCUACCAAGCCGACGAUCCAUAGCUGGUUUGAGAGGAUGAUCAGCUACACUGGGACUGAGACACGGCCCAGACUCCUACGGGAGGCAGCAGUGGGGAAUCUUAGACAAUGGGGGCAACCCUGAUCUAGCCAUGCCGCGUGAGUGAUGAAGGCCUUAGGGUUGUAAAGCUCUUUCAGCUGGGAAGAUAAUGACGGGACCAGCAGAAGAAGCCCCGGCUAACUCCGU
This 432-nucleotide ribosomal RNA is filed under the name uncultured bacterium. Its description in RNAcentral is "partial 16S ribosomal RNA". It matches the Rfam family "Bacterial small subunit ribosomal RNA", at positions 29 to 506 of the family's 1533-position model. The record is from RNAcentral.